This 1339-nucleotide ribosomal RNA is filed under the name uncultured fungus. RNAcentral's name for it is "eukaryotic LSU rRNA". The stretch from base 647 to 1339 matches the Rfam family "Eukaryotic large subunit ribosomal RNA", at positions 1 to 667 of the family's 3401-position model. Lineage: Eukaryota; Fungi. The record is from RNAcentral.
CUUGGUCAUUUAGAGGAAGUAAAAGUCGUAACAAGGUUUCCGUAGGUGAACCUGCGGAAGGAUCAUUAAUGAAAGCUCGAGCGAGGUUGUAGCUGGCCCCUUACGGGGGGUGAUGUGCACGCCUCGUCUCCGUCUUCAUCUCUCACCCCUGUGCACCUCUGCGUUGGGCUCCGAGUGUUUGCUCGCUUGGGGCCUGCGUCUUUUCCACAAAAAAACCUUUGCAUGUAUCGGAACGUCUCGUUUGCUGUCGAAGCAAAAACUUGUACAACUUUCAACAACGGAUCUCUUGGCUCUCGCAUCGAUGAAGAACGCAGCGAAAUGCGAUAAGUAAUGUGAAUUGCAGAAUUCAGUGAAUCAUCGAAUCUUCGAACGCACCUUGCGCCUCUUGGUGUUCCGAGGGGCACGCCUGUUUGAGUAUCGUGAAAUUCUCAACCCGACUCCUUUUUUGUGAAAAGGGGGAGGAGGGCUUGGACUUUGGAGGUCUUGCCGGUCCCUUUGUUUGGGUCGGCUCCUCUUGAAUGCAUUAGUGGAGCUUGUCUGCUCUCUCUGCCUCUCGGCGUGAUAAUUCAUCUUGCGUCGACGUGUGAGGGUGGAUGCGGCGUCGCUUCUAACCAUCUCGUCCGAGACGAGUGUGUUUUGAACCCUUUGUUCUCAAAUCAGGUGGGACUACCCGCUGAACUUAAGCAUAUCAAUAAGCGGAGGAAAAGAAACUAACAAGGAUUCCCCUAGUAACUGCGAGUGAAGCGGGAAAAGCUCAAAUUUGAAAUCUGGCGGUCUUUGGCCGUCCGAGUUGUAGUCUGGAGAAGCGCUUUCCGCGCCGGACCGUGUACAAGUCCUCUGGAACGGGGCGUCGUAGAGGGUGAGAAUCCCGUCUUUGACACGGACUGCCGGUGCUCUGUGAUGCGCUCUCGAAGAGUCGAGUUGUUUGGGAAUGCAGCUCAAAACGGGUGGUGAAUUCCAUCUAAAGCUAAAUAUUGGCGAGAGACCGAUAGCGAACAAGUACCGUGAGGGAAAGAUGAAAAGCACUUUGGAAAGAGAGUUAAACAGUACGUGAAAUUGUUGAAAGGGAAACGCUUGAAGUCAGUCGCGUCGUCCGGGAUUCAGCCUUGCGAUCUAGCUCGGUGUACUUUCCGGUUCGACGGGCCAGCAUCGAUUUUGACCGUCGGACAAAGGCGGGGGAAAUGUGGCACCCUUUUCUGGGUGUGUUAUAGUCCCUCGUCGGUAUACGACGGUCGGGAUCGAGGAACUCGGCACGCCUUUGUGGUCGGGGCUUUGCCCACGUCUCGUGCUUAGGAUGCUGGCGUAAUGGCUUUAAACGACCCGUCUUGAAACACGGACC